UACGUAGGGUGCAGGCGUUAAUCGGAAUUACUGGGCGUAAAGCAUGCGCAGGCGGUUUGCUAAGACAGGUGUGAAAUCCCCGGGCUUAACCUGGGAACUGCGCUUGUAACUAGCAGGCUAGAGUGUGGCAGAGGGGGGUGGAAUUCCACGUGUAGCAGUGAAAUGCGUAGAGAUGUGGAGGAACACCGAUGGCGAAGGCAGCCCCCUGGGCUAACACUGACGCUCAUGCACGAAAGCGUGGGGAGCAAACAGG
This 253-nucleotide ribosomal RNA is filed under the name uncultured bacterium. RNAcentral describes it as "partial 16S ribosomal RNA". It matches the Rfam family "Bacterial small subunit ribosomal RNA", at positions 524 to 776 of the family's 1533-position model. The record is from RNAcentral.